CACGUAGGGUGCGAGCGUUGUCCGGAAUUAUUGGGCGUAAAGAGCUCGUAGGCGGUGUGUCGCGUCGGCCGUGAAAACCCGCAGCUCAACUGUGGGCUUGCAGCUGAUACGGGCAGGCUUGAGUUCGGUAGGGGAGACUGGAAUUCCUGGUGUAGCGGUGAAAUGCGCAGAUAUCAGGAGGAACACCGGUGGCGAAGGCGGGUCUCUGGGCCGAUACUGACGCUGGGGAGCGAAAGCAUGGGGAGCGAACAGG
This 253-nucleotide ribosomal RNA is filed under the name uncultured bacterium. RNAcentral describes it as "partial 16S ribosomal RNA". It matches the Rfam family "Bacterial small subunit ribosomal RNA", at positions 524 to 776 of the family's 1533-position model. The record is from RNAcentral.